RNAcentral lists this ribosomal RNA (589 nucleotides) under uncultured bacterium. RNAcentral's name for it is "bacterial SSU rRNA". It matches the Rfam family "Bacterial small subunit ribosomal RNA", at positions 58 to 635 of the family's 1533-position model. The record is from RNAcentral.
CAAGUCGAGGGGUAACAGAGAAAAGCUUGCUUUUUUGCUGACGACCGGCGCACGGGUGCGUAACGCGUAUGCAAUCUACCUUUUGCUAAGGGAUAGCCCAGAGAAAUUUGGAUUAAUACCUUAUAGUAUGAUGACUUGGCAUCAAGAUAUCAUUAAAGGUUACGGCAAAAGAUGAGCAUGCGUUCUAUUAGCUAGUUGGUAUGGUAACCGCAUACCAAGGCAACGAUAGAUAGGGGUCCUGAGUGGGAGAUCCCCCACACUGGUACUGAGACACGGCCCAGACUCCUACGGGAGGCAGCAGUGGGGAAUAUUGGACAAUGGGCGCAAGCCUGAUCCAGCCAUGCCGCGUGUGUGAAGAAGGCCUUAGGGUUGUAAAGCACUUUCAGGAGUGAGGAAGGGUGUACGGUUAAUACCCGUAUAUUUUGACGUUAACUCCAGAAGAAGCACCGGCUAACUCUGUGCCAGCAGCCGCGGUAGUACAGAGGGUGCGAGCGUUAAUCGGAAUUACUGGGCGUAAAGCGCGCGUAGGCGGUUUGUUAAGUCGGAUGUGAAAUCCCAGGGCUCAACCUUGGAAUGGCACCCGAUACUG